RNAcentral lists this ribosomal RNA (406 nucleotides) under uncultured bacterium. RNAcentral describes it as "partial 16S ribosomal RNA". It matches the Rfam family "Bacterial small subunit ribosomal RNA", at positions 30 to 526 of the family's 1533-position model. The record is from RNAcentral.
AUUGAACGCUGGCGGCAGGCUUAACACAUGCAAGUCGAACGAGUGGCGGACGGGUGAGUAAUGUCUGGGAAACUGCCUGAUGGAUGGGGAUAAAUACUGGAAACGGUAGCUAAUACCGCAUACCCUCAGAUGUGCCAAGAUGGGAUUAGCUAGUAGGUGGGGUAAUGGCUCACCUAGGCGACGAUCCCUAGCUGGUCUUAGAGGAUGACCAUCCACACUGGAACUGAGACACGGUCCAGACUCCGACGGGAGGCAGCAGUGGGGAAUAUUGCACAAUGGGCGCAAGCCUGAUGCAGCCAUGCCGCGUGUUUGAAGAAGGCCUUCGGGUUUGAAAGCACUUUCAGCGAGGAGGCGUUACUCGCAGAAGAAGCACCGGCUAACUCCGUGCCAGCAGCCGCGGUAAUAC